UAGGAGCCACGGUUAAUGAAGAGGACUCUUU
Molecule: non-coding RNA, 31 nt
Filed under: Mus musculus (house mouse)
Lineage: Eukaryota; Metazoa; Chordata; Mammalia; Rodentia; Muridae
Source: RNAcentral